RNAcentral lists this ribosomal RNA (253 nucleotides) under uncultured bacterium. Its description in RNAcentral is "partial 16S ribosomal RNA". It matches the Rfam family "Bacterial small subunit ribosomal RNA", at positions 524 to 776 of the family's 1533-position model. The record is from RNAcentral.
UACGUAGGGACCAAGCGUUGUUCGGAUUUACUGGGCGUAAAGGGCGCGUAGGCGGCAAUUCUAGUCAUCUGUGAAAUCUCCGGGCUUAACUCGGAACGGUCAGAUGAUACUGCUUUGCUAGAGUGCAGAAGGGGCAAUCGGAAUUCUUGGUGUAGCGGUGAAAUGCGUAGAUAUCAAGAGGAACACCUGAGGUGAAGACGGGUUGCUGGGCUGACACUGACGCUGAGGCGCGAAAGCCAGGGGAGCAAACAGG